This 305-nucleotide unclassified non-coding RNA is filed under the name plant metagenome. RNAcentral describes it as "partial contains 5.8S ribosomal RNA, internal transcribed spacer 2, and large subunit ribosomal RNA". The stretch from base 1 to 105 matches the Rfam family "5.8S ribosomal RNA", at positions 50 to 154 of the family's 154-position model. The record is from RNAcentral.
GAAAUGCGAUAAGUAAUGUGAAUUGCAGAAUUCAGUGAAUCAUCGAAUCUUUGAACGCACAUUGCGCCCGCCAGUAUUCUGGCGGGCAUGCCUGUUCGAGCGUCAUUUCAACCAUCAAGCCCCCGGCUUGUGUUGGGGACCUGCGGCUGCCCGCAGGCCCUGAAAAACAGUGGCGGGCUCGCUGUCACACCGAGCGUAGUAGCAUACAUUCUCGCUCAGGGCGUGCUGCGGGUCCCGGCCGUUAAACGACCUUCAUAACCCAAGGUUGACCUCGGAUCAGGUAGGUAGACCCGCUGAACUUAAGC